RNAcentral lists this non-coding RNA (23 nucleotides) under Arabidopsis thaliana (thale cress). The record is from RNAcentral. Lineage: Eukaryota; Viridiplantae; Streptophyta; Magnoliopsida; Brassicales; Brassicaceae.
UACAGAUUCUUCUGAGGCGCUCA